GUUCGUUGCGUAGUAACUAAAUGAUGCUUUCCCAUGAUUUGUAUUUACUCUGGGAAUCACUAACAGAUUGGUACCUGGUUCCCAAACUUCUCAGCUCUUCUCUGCAAAAAGGAUUAUUGGUUGUGACCUGGGGUCAUGUGAUUGUCGGCCGACCAACUAACUGAUUAAUCAGGAAGUAAAUAAGGGCCGUUUGAAGCCCCAAUGAGGUGACAUUUGUCUCCAUAGAUCAGUGGCAGUGACGUCCUUGCAGAGUGUGGACCUGGUGAAUGCAGAUUACAUUACAUGUCAUUUAGCUGACGCGUUUAUCCAAAGCGACUGACAUUGCAUUUUUAACCCGUACCAACCUUGCGGUUCUCGGCGCACCCCAGAUGACCCCAGAUGACCCUUAGCAGUUACUGCACACCACAGGAGGACUCUGGGUAAAACAGCGCUUGAACCCAUCGUAAUCGGAUGGUUUGUCAUCCUUAAGUUCAGCUCGGUGAGAUUCAGCCGACACCUACUCUGUCUCGACAGGAACGGAGGAUGUAACCCAACACCGGGUCCGCCGUUGCCACGGAUACACAGCGUUCUGUCUGUCGGUGGCACCAUAUAGGGCAAGUACGGUCUCGUUAAUGCGGCAGGCGUAUUCGCACCACUUGUUUCACACGCUUAAGUUGGAAAUUCAGGUUGACACCGUUUCAUCAACCGUCAAAGUGAUGAGAAGCUUUUGCAUCAUCCAAAAAGACCUGUUUGGGAGUUGACUGUGAGGGACAUGCUGCCGAUCAACGUACCUGGUCAUAUAUUUCCCUUUGUUGCUCGGUGACUGGUGGCUGGCAUACACGCACACCCACAAUUAAUCACACAACCGUCUGUGUGUGUUUGCGUGGCAAUCAAAAAACAGUUUUCCGAAUGCCGCCGAGAUCAGAAAGAGACAGACAAAGACACGCUUUGCCCCAUGCGGAGAGAUGUGAAGUCAAUGAUGUGUCGUGCAAUAAUGGAGUCACAUUUCUGCCUCAUUUGUGCGGCCAAAAACUCCCGGCAACUCGCAGCUCGUCUCCGCUCGCGCGCCUCGCCGCAUCCCGUCCGCGCACGCACAACCUCGCAAGCAGCCGUGACGCGCGGGAGGAGGGAGAACGCGGAGGUCAGAGAAAAAAGGAGGCUCCUGACGGAAGGUAAAAAGAAGGUUGUGGGGCCUCGGAGCCUAAAGCCGGCGGGGGGCGGCGUUGGAUUGUAAUGCAGGGGUCAGUUAUGUUGUGUUUUAAGUUGUCAGCGGCCGAUUUCCACAACGGAAACUAACAAAAAUCUCAAAAUGUUGAGCGUCUGAGCAGUUUGGCCAUAGGAUAUGUCGCAUUCUUUUGCCGUGUGUCAGAAAUGUUUAUGUGUGUGUGUGUGUGUGUGUGUCUGUGUGUGUGUGGGGUAUCUGCAUACUGUGGCUUCCUGGUGUGCAGGAUGCAUGUGGGGGCAGAGACAAAGCACCUGGCUGAAAAGGUGAGUCACAGAAGCAGGUAAUUGCUCUGACAUUUACUUCUAAUGAAGGAUUGGGACGAUAAUGGGACCUAUUUGCAUUAGUAGAAAAAAACACACACACACACACACACACACGUAGAGGCAACAAACGCACACAUGCACACUUAAAGAGUCCUCCUCAACACUUAGCACAGUGCAAAGCUGCGCUCCAGAGCCUGACUCACACACAUUACGCGCCAAUGCGGAGGAGGGAGAAAGUGCAUCGAGGCCUCAGACGAGACGACGGUGAAGAGGACGAGCGCGGCGCAGCGGGGACGAAGGACAGGAGGGGAGACGAGGGGAGAGAGGUCACCGACGCGGGAGACGCUGACCCAUUUUCUCCCCCCCCUCCCCUCCCCUCUCUCUCUCUUCCAGGUGUUUUGUGUGACCGUCUUGCAAAGGCAGGACGGGGAUCUCUGCUCUUUCGUUCAGUCAAGGUGUUCUGUGGGAGCCGCAAGACGUGAUGCUCGAAUCCUGUGGAAAAAGAGGUGUUUCUUUAAAAAAAAGAAGAAAAAAAAAAUGUCAACGGCUGAAAAGCACAAAGAGCAAAACAGACGCGGCCUUGGGAACCGAGAGGAAAAAAUAUAGUUUUUUUUAAAAAUGAAGUGAGAGGCGGUAAGACAGUUAGAAAAAAAAAAAAGAAAAGAAAAGUGAGAGCGAGAAAGAAAGAAGUGCAUUUCCCCGACAUGAGUCACUUCUGAGUGAAAGCUUUGUAAUUUAAGCCGCACGCAGCGAAAGAAAGAACGAAAGAGGGACAGAUGCAGCGGCACCGACGUGGAGAGACGUGGACAUUUACCCAACGCCGACAACAGCAGCACCGUGCGUUCCUGACGUUACAAAACCAUCUGGGUUAAUUCCAAUUUAAAACAGUGCCACAGAACAGGUGGACUCCACAUUAACUGCACGUUGGCGUUCCUCUAAAGUGGAUGUGGUCCACGGUGUCUCUCACACUUCAACCACCACAUCCUCCCGUGGAGCUUCAUUUAUGCACAUUGAAAAGACAAGCGGACGCCGACAGGACGCAGUUUGUCAUUUCGGAUCAUGGUUGUAAUUGUUAUGUAAUUGUUAUAAUGUUUAAUGCGAAAAAGUUCCAGCGAGUGUCCCCGAAUGUCUUCGGGCAGGACUUAGUCAAGUAUCAAGUAUCAAGAGUCAAAUAUUGACAGUGGGACCAUUUUCGACAAGGAAGUAAUAUCUCGUAUGGAAAGUUUCCGUCGAGGGCUUUCUAGAUAAAUAGAAACCAAUGCGUGUCAAUGCGACGAUAACUGGCGUAAUCAACUGAAUCAACGGGUUUAACAGUGGAGGCGUGUCUGCAGACAAUAAUACAGAUAAGCUCAAUAAUACAGAUAAGCCUUAAUUGUUUGUUUUUGUACUCAACACGGCAAAAUUGAUUCUGCUUUAAUGUCAGUUCUUGUAUUUAUUGUAUCUUUGUUGAUGAGUUUGCCAGAAGUUUUAUACCUGAUAACCGUUCCGAUGUCUCCGUACUGGAUGCAAAUACCACUUUAUAUAUUAAAUACACAAAAAUACAAAAUACUAUUUGAAGGAUGCUGCGUCACCAGGAACAAACAUGGAAAA
This is a non-coding RNA of Gasterosteus aculeatus aculeatus (three-spined stickleback), 3057 nucleotides long. NCBI's taxonomy places the organism in Eukaryota, Metazoa, Chordata, Actinopteri, Perciformes, Gasterosteidae. The record is from RefSeq and is a predicted model, not a curated record.